AAGAAACCAACAGGGAUUGCCCUAGUAACGGCGAGUGAAGCGGCAACAGCUCAAAUUUGAAAUCUGGCCUCUUUUGGGGUCCGAGUUGUAAUUUGCAGAGGGCGCUUUGGAGUCGGCAGCGGUCCAAGUUCCUUGGAACAGGACGUCACAGAGGGUGAGAAUCCCGUACGUGGUCGCUAGCCUUCUCCGUGUAAAGCCCCUUCGACGAGUCGAGUUGUUUGGGAAUGCAGCUCUAAAUGGGAGGUAAAUUUCUUCUAAAGCUAAAUAUUGGCCAGAGACCGAUAGCGCACAAGUAGAGUGAUCGAAAGAUGAAAAGCACUUUGGAAAGAGAGUCAAAAAGCACGUGAAAUUGUUGAAAGGGAAGCGCUUGCAGCCAGACUUGCCUGUAGUUGCUCAUCCGGGCUUUUGCCCGGUGCACUCUUCUAUAGGCAGGCCAGCAUCAGUUUGGGCGGUUGGAUAAAGGUCUCUGUCAUGUACCUCUCUUCGGGGAGAACUUAUAGGGGAGACGCCAUGCAACCAGCUCAGACUGAGGUCCGCGCAUUCGCUAGGAUGCUGGCGUAAUGGCUGUAAGC
This 572-nucleotide ribosomal RNA is filed under the name Wilsonomyces carpophilus. RNAcentral's name for it is "partial large subunit ribosomal RNA". It matches the Rfam family "Eukaryotic large subunit ribosomal RNA", at positions 59 to 645 of the family's 3401-position model. The record is from RNAcentral. Lineage: Eukaryota; Fungi; Ascomycota; Dothideomycetes.